CUGAUCAGCCAUGCCGCGUGCAGGAAGACUGCCCUAUGGGUUGUAAACUGCUUUUAUACAGGAAGAAACCUCCCGACGUGUCGGGCCUUGACGGUACUGUAAGAAUAAGGAUCGGCUAACUCCGUGCCAGCAGCCGCGGUAAUACGGAGGAUCCAAGCGUUAUCCGGAAUCAUUGGGUUUAAAGGGUCCGUAGGUGGAUAAUUAAGUCAGGGGUGAAAGUCUGCAGCUCAACUGUAGAAUUGCCUUUGAUACUGGUUAUCUUGAGUUAUUAUGAAGUAGUUAGAAUAUGUAGUGUAGCGGUGAAAUGCAUAGAUAUUACAUAGAAUACCAAUUGCGAAGGCAGAUUACUAAUAAUAUACUGACACUGAUGGACGAAAGCGUGGGGAGCGAACAGGAUUAGAUACCCUGGUAG
This 412-nucleotide ribosomal RNA is filed under the name uncultured Bizionia sp. RNAcentral describes it as "bacterial SSU rRNA". It matches the Rfam family "Bacterial small subunit ribosomal RNA", at positions 383 to 793 of the family's 1533-position model. The record is from RNAcentral. Lineage: Bacteria; Pseudomonadati; Bacteroidota; Flavobacteriia; Flavobacteriales; Flavobacteriaceae.